Long non-coding RNA from Sinocyclocheilus anshuiensis, 769 nucleotides. RefSeq lists it as uncharacterized. The record is from RefSeq and is a predicted model, not a curated record. Lineage: Eukaryota; Metazoa; Chordata; Actinopteri; Cypriniformes; Cyprinidae. The transcript has 3 exons.
GUGUGUGUGUGUGUGUGUGUGUGUGUGUGUGUGUGUGUGUGUGUGUGUGUGUGUGUGUGAGCAGGGCAUGCAGCACCAGAUCGCUCAUGUGGCCACGCAGCUGAAAGUGGCUCGACUGCUGACCUGCAAUGCUGCGAAGGAGGCUGGAUGGUCCUUCAUUAAAGAGGCCUGCAUGGCCAAGUACUUCACCGCAGAGGUGGCGGCUCUGACCACAUCCAAGUGCAUCGAGUGGAUGGGCGGCGUGGGCUUCUCCAGACUAUCCCAUCGAGAAGUACUACAGAGACUGUAAGAUCGGAACCAGCAACAUCCAGCUGAGCACCAUGGCCAAGACGAUCGCCCAGGAAUAUGACGGAUAAACAUCUGUGUGUCACAUACACCAGAAGAGUAAUUGAGCUAUUAAUGACAUGUAAGCUGUAGUUUUCAUGUAUUAAACAUGUUGAUGCUCUUUCUCAGCUCGGGGGUCUCCUCUGGUGAGAUUCACACAGCGAUCGUGUAAUAAGACUCUCCGAGUUCUGCAACUGAACUGUGUUGGACUCUUAAUGGAUCAUUUGACAGUUCUCUAGUUAUUUGUGUUGUAAGACUGAAAUUAUAUCACAGCAAAUGAGUUGAAGUCUGUUUUUCUGAAGUCUUUUCACUUUUAAAAUGAAGCUAUCGUUAGACUUGGAUUAUAUUCCUGUUAGUUUUUGAUGUAUUCGGUGUCUUAUUGAUCGCUGACGGCUGUUGAUUUGAGAUCGGUCGGGUCUCUGGUGUUUGUGUUUGUGUGGCUGAA